Molecule: ribosomal RNA, 301 nt
Filed under: uncultured bacterium
Lineage: Bacteria
Description: partial 16S ribosomal RNA
Rfam family: Bacterial small subunit ribosomal RNA
Source: RNAcentral
CAGCAGCCGCGGGAAAACGAAGGGUGCAAGCGUUAAUCGGAAUUACUGGGCGUAAAGCGUGCGCAGGCGGUUUGUUAAGACAGAUGUGAAAUCCCCGGGCUCAACCUGGGAACUGCAUUUGUGACUGGCAAGCUAGAGUCUGGCAGAGGGGGGUGGAAUUCCGCGUGUAGCAGUGAAAUGCGUAGAUAUGCGGAGGAACACCGAUGGCGAAGGCAGCCCCCUGGGCCAACACUGACGCUCAUGCACGAAAGCGUGGGGAGCAAACAGGAUUAGAUACCCCUGUAGUCCCUGUCUCUUAUAC